GACGAACGCUGGCGGCGUGCUUAACACAUGCAAGUCGAACGGAAAGGCCCUGCUUGCAGGGUACUCGAGUGGCGAACGGGUGAGUAACACGUGGGUGAUCUGCCCUGCACUUCGGGAUAAGCCUGGGAAACUGGGUCUAAUACCGGAUAGGAGCUAUUUUUAGUGUGAUGGUUGGAAAGUUUUUUCGGUGUAUGAUGAGCUGGCGGGCUAUCAGCUUGUUGGUGGGGUAAUGGCCUACCAAGGCGGCUACGGGUAGCCGGCCUGCGGGGGUGGACGGCCACACUGGGACUGAGAGACGGCCGAGACACCGACGGGAGGCAGCAGGGGGGAAUACUGCACAAGGGGCGCAAGCCGGAUGCAGCGACGCCGCGGGUGGGAAGACGGCCUUCGUGUUGAAAACUCCAUUCGCUAGGGACGAAGCUUGUUGUGACGGUACCUAGAUAAGAAGCACCGGCUAACUACGUG
Molecule: ribosomal RNA, 465 nt
Filed under: uncultured bacterium
Lineage: Bacteria
Description: partial 16S ribosomal RNA
Rfam family: Bacterial small subunit ribosomal RNA
Source: RNAcentral